This 418-nucleotide ribosomal RNA is filed under the name Ischnocnema parva. RNAcentral's name for it is "partial 16S ribosomal RNA". It matches the Rfam family "Bacterial large subunit ribosomal RNA", at positions 1846 to 2472 of the family's 2925-position model. The record is from RNAcentral. Lineage: Eukaryota; Metazoa; Chordata; Amphibia; Anura; Brachycephalidae.
UAAGAGGUCCAGCCUGCCCAGUGACACUAGUUCAACGGCCGCGGUACACUGACCGUGCAAAGGUAGCGUAAUCAUUUGUCUUUUAAAUUAAGACUCGUAUGAAAGGCACCACGAGAAUUAAACUGUCUCCUUUCUCUAAUCUGUGAAACUGAUCCCCCCGUGAAGAAGCGGGGAUUUUAGUAUAAGACGAGAAGACCCUAUGGAGCUUCAGACAAAUAAUAUGCCCCCCCCCUUUUUUCCUUCCUCGCUAAAAAUAUCCGAGCAUCUUAAUUAUUUAGUCUUGGGUUGGGGCGACCACGGAGUAAAAAUCAUCCUCCGUGCUGAACAGGACCUCCUUAAAUAAGAGCAACAGCUCAACGAAUCAAUAAAUUGACACAUUUGACCCAAUUACUUGAUCAACGAAACAAGUUACCCUAGG